Long non-coding RNA from Phascolarctos cinereus (koala), 2827 nucleotides. RefSeq lists it as uncharacterized. The record is from RefSeq and is a predicted model, not a curated record. NCBI's taxonomy places the organism in Eukaryota, Metazoa, Chordata, Mammalia, Diprotodontia, Phascolarctidae.
CACACACACACACCCUUCCCCCCUCCCCCUCCCCUCACAUGAAAACACACGUUGGAUUCCCUCCUUCCCACACCUCUCUCUCACACACUCCCCCAGAGCCCGUGAGAACGAAGCACUAAAGUAGACCCCUCUAGCUCUGGCGGCCACUGCUUUUCUUGGAACUUACACCCUCUGUGUCCGUCUACUUCCCUCUACUAAUCCCUUCUUCCCUGUCCUGGUGGUCCCCUGCACCUUCACGCACCUCCCCAACCUCAUCCUGCUCCUUUGAUGGCUGUCAUCAGAGACCUUCGCGGAAGCCCCACUAUUUCCACCUGUCACAGUAGAACUGUCUCGCAGCCCAAGUUUGAAGGUACUUGGUUUGCUGCUGGAGCUAUUGCCGCCGCCGCCGCUGUUUCCUUCUCUACUUCUUCCUCCUCCUCCGUCUCCUCCUCCUUUUCUUUCUCUUCUUCGGCGCGGGCUUAAAGCCUAGGAGUACAGCCGAAGCCCCGGAGCCCAUGGCAGAAUUACCAGCCUCCCUAAAUUUUUCUUCCUCAUCCUUAUCUUCGCCCCCUCUGCUCCCUCGCUUCCUCGCGGUGGAGCCUUCGGAGAGCAACAUCUGGAGCAGGUGAGCAGCUGUUGUGGAGCUCCAGUCCGAGAUCAAAGGGUCCGCUUCGCCCCGGAGCCACAACACAAUCUCUCUCUCUCUCUCUCUCUCUCUCUCUCUCUCUCUCUCUCUCUCUCUCUCUCUCUCUCUCUCACACACACACACACACACACACACACACACACACACACACAGAGGCAGACGCUACACACUGAGAGAGAAACGGGGGUAAGAGAAAGAGAGGGCAGGAAGAACCCCGUUUUUCUAUAUUUUGGUCAACUUGGCACGAACCACUGCAGAUGCACCACAGGUUACUCUUGGGGGGUCUCGCUGCCUCCCGGUAGCGGUGCAUCAGGUCACGGUGGCGCCUCUGGUGUUGGCGCUCUGGUGUUGGUGUUAGCCGUGCGGCAGCGGCGGCUGCCAGGGACCGUCAGUAUCCAACGGUGCCCUGUGAUCGCCACCCGCCCCCUCCCUCCCUCUCUCCCGCCCCAACCUCUGUUAACCAUCGCUAAGUAACCUUCUCCUCCGGCUGCGGCGGUCCCGGGUGACAUGCAGUCCCUUAUCUCUCCGGUGACCAAGGCGAUUCUGGUGGCUUUGUUCAUCUUUGCCAUCCUCCUGAUCCUCUAUGUUAUCCUUUGGUACAUCUGCCGCGAUGUGGAUUGCGACCACGGCAUCUGAGUCGGGCUGCGGGGCAGCCUUGGAGCUGGAGACUGCUUGACAGUGGAGUCUCUCAAGGGGGGGAGGGGGCUUGAUAAAAAGAGAGCCAGACCCAGAAGAAAAGAGCUGGGAUUUUUUUUAAAAAGAGAGAAAGAAAGAGUGAGAGAGGUGGAGGUGACGAACGGUGGUGGAGACAAGGAAAAAAGGAGAAAAGGUGGGCAUGGGGGUGGGGGAAGAAAGAGAGCAGCCGUCAGCCCCUCGGAUCCGACGACCUCAUCGAAACCCGGCAGGCAAGAACUACAUCUAAGCACCGGCGACCUGGAAUUGACCUUCAGACAGCAGGGUGACCCCGUGCCCAGUGAGGGACUUGAAAGCUCUGGACAGUGUGGAGUCAUCCCUUGCCCUGCUACAACCCAGGUGCCACCAAGGUGUCAUGACUCUGAUGUGGAGGGACACCUUUGAGGGAUGGAAGGGGGAGACUUUGGCCUUGUUCCUGGGACUGUCGUGUCAACAAGAGUGCCAAUGACGCAAUUUUGUGGGGAUGGAGGGAGGGGUGGACAAUAUAUGGAUUGAGGCCAUCAGCAGCCAUCACCCAUCUCACCAAAUAUUCCAAUGAGAACUCAUGGUCCUUCUCAACAGCUGGGGCCAAGGCCUCCAUCAUAUCUCCUUGCUGGUAUUCUGAGCCAUCCUACCUGGCCUGUCUCUCCUCCCUCUCUCUCGUGGAGUCGUCAUCAGUCUCUUCCUUGCUUGUGCACGGUACUGAACCAGCAGGGCUCUUUGUUUAAAAUAUCUGUGAGGCAGCCUUGUGGAGAUUUUUACUUUUACAUACAUGACUAGAGAAAUCCUGAAGACAAUCAGCAUCAGAUUGUAACAUCUUUAAGGUAGGUGACAUCUGGGGCCUCGCCUACUUCAUUUUCAAAUGGAUUUUCUCAGUAAAGUUUGUAAACAAGUUAACUAUCUUGUAGCUUGUUUUUGCAUGAUGGAUGUGCUCAAGGGAACAGUCAUAAGUAAUUCAAUUAUGGCCCUCUUUUUAAUUUUUUUUCAAAGUUACCCCAGAUAAUUUUUGUUUUAGUGGUCAUAAUAAAAAAUAUGCUGCUCCCAGAAAAAUAGCCUAAUAAUUAAAGACUAUGACCUUUCGAUGUGAAAGAAGAAAGCCAAUAGGCAUACAGUAUGCCAGCACCUCAUCCAUGUUGGAGUGUUAACAACCUCAUUUUUAUGGCAUAAUGCAAUUUCAUUGCAUAGUUUGAGGGGCACCAAGGAUGUGCAGUUUUGCACUUUUGUUGAAAACUUCAGGGAAAACAGACAACAUGAGCAUGAGAAUUGCCAGGUGAUAUUUGUAUUAUCUUUAUGAAUGUAUUUGAAACGUCAUGACCCAGCAAUGUUAGCUCUCCAUACCAUCCAUAUGCAUCAUAAUGAAUUAUUUUGUAAGCUUUUCUAAAUGCUAUAAUAAUUCUGUCUUUCAGGUUUGAUGUGGCACCUUAGUGUUGUCUUGUCACAUCUCUGUCUCUCCACAUGAAAAGAGGCAAUAAAGACAAUGCUCAGACAGUAUGGCUAUUCAAGAAAAUAAAAAAUAUUUUUGAAACUGCA